Molecule: ribosomal RNA, 448 nt
Filed under: uncultured bacterium
Lineage: Bacteria
Description: bacterial SSU rRNA
Rfam family: Bacterial small subunit ribosomal RNA
Source: RNAcentral
GAUGAACGCUGGCGGCGUGCUUAACACAUGCAAGUCGAACGAAGCACCUUAUUCUGAUUUCUUCGGAAUGAAAAAUUCGGUGACUGAGUGGCGGACGGGUGAGUAACGCGUGGGUAACCUGCCUCAUACAGGGGGAUAACAGUUAGAAAUGACUGCUAAUACCGCAUAAGACCACAGCACCGCAUGGUGCAGGGGUAAAAACUCCGGUGGUAUGAGAUGGACCCGCGUCUGAUUAGGUAGUUGGUGGGGUAACGGCCUACCAAGCCGACGAUCAGUAGCCGACCUGAGAGGGUGACCGGCCACAUUGGGACUGAGACACGGCCCAAACUCCUACGGGAGGCAGCAGUGGGGAAUAUUGCACAAUGGGGGAAACCCUGAUGCAGCGACGCCGCGUGAGCGAUGAAGUAUUUCGGUAUGUAAAGCUCUAUCAGCAGGGAAGAAAAUGACG